This 1896-nucleotide long non-coding RNA is filed under the name Homo sapiens (human). RNAcentral describes it as "HSALNT0030659". The record is from RNAcentral. Lineage: Eukaryota; Metazoa; Chordata; Mammalia; Primates; Hominidae.
GAAUGAGUGAAUGGGCUGUAGGAAGCUCUGAGGAUGAAGCUUGUGAAGCCACAGGCUGUGGAGUUUGGGGCUUCCUGGGGGUAGAAUUUAGGAGGUCCACAGUGGCUUCUAUCAGCUGUGCUGAGGAGAGAAGAGCCAGGCAAAUUGCCCGCUGCCAGCCUUCUCGGGGAGGAAAGGUAGGCAGCAGCAUCGGUGGGGAUUGCGCUAACUCAAGGUGCCAGCUCCAUGCUGCUCUGGGGCUGGCCAGCGCUCUGGAUGUCAUUAGCUGAUUUGUUCUGCUCUGCAGAAUGUACUUUUCAUAUUUAGGCAGAAAAAAACAGCUUUCGAUCCUUGUGCCCUUUCUUCUGUGAGCUGUAGCACAUGGCCUGCUAAUUAUGAAUUAAUCCUCUAAAGAGCAUGUUCAUUAUUCUAAUUUAAUUGUGCUUCGUUUCAGAAAAUAACUAAACCCAGCGUGGAAUAAACUCCAAUGCUGAUCAGUUUUCAAGAAGUUAACAUAAGACAAAAUUCUGCUAGAGGGCAGCAGCAAUUUGGAAUCAUUAAAGGGAACCCAUGUAAAUAAUAAAAACAAAACUAAAAUGCAGAAUUAAAUUAAGGAAUAGGAAAUUAAAUUUGGGAAUCUAAUCUAAAAUUGAGGCCUUAUAUGCACAGGCUUACCCUGGCUUGGCUCUUCGCUCAGGAGUGCUCAGGAGAGGAGGUUCUGCAGAGUUUCCCACGACCAGGGAAGCGGCAGUCCCUCCUGGGUGGCAGUUUGCUGUUCUGGGAAGAGAGAUGUGGGCUGAAGUGGGAGAAAGGGGGCUUUCCUCCCACGGGGUCAACUGUGAUGAAGAUGAAAGCCACAUUGUCACAGAUGCAUCUGGAUAGCUCAUCCUGAGCCCUGGUGACCGGUUCAGGAGAACUGCCUGCAGCCAAGAGUCCAAGCUGCCACUCACUAGGAGGAAGCACAGGAAAUGAGGCAGAUGGUGCUGGGUGGCUGCUGGCCUGAGAUGCUGGGAGUGGUCAGCCCUGGGCAAAGAAGCCGCGCCAGCCCUCCUUCACCUUUGGGCCCUGGGCACCCUUCCACAGGUGACCCAGCUCAGGACAGAGGCUGAGGGAGUUUCCUCCUGCCCGGGCAGUGGCCCCUAAGCAGGGUCCUGGCCUCCCCACCAUCACCGUGAGAGCCCAGUUACAGAUGGAGGAGACCCGGACUCCAGCAGCAUCAUGACAGGUGGUGAAACUGAGGACAGAGGGUGAUAAGGGCUUGCUCAAGGUCAUACAGCAAGGUGGUGCAAGAGUCAGAACCAACACACAGAUCUUCAGACUCCCAGUUCAAGAGAAUGCGGCAGAGAAAAAGAGGAGAAACUGAAGAAGGGACUAAAUAAGGCAAGGCUGGAUCAGAAAAGAUUGACUCUGAGGACUAAGAGAAACUGAAGCUGGGACCCAGCAGGGUGCUAUUGACCUCCAAGUCCUUUCUCCACAUUCCCCCAUCUGCCCAACUUCCACAGCUCAGGGGUCUUUUCUCCUAGGGUUGAAAUAUGAAUGGCUCUAAAAUUUCCCAGUGAAAACCAUCCAUGAAGUUGUGUGUGGGAAAUGAAAUGCCAGCCCGUGGGUGUCAGCAACUGUGAAGAAAGCGUGGCAUCCACGCUCACCUGGGCUUCCUUUGGUUUGCCUCAUUAAUCAGCUCCCCAGGUCAUCGGCACGUCUCGCCUCAGGCUCACAGGUCUGGUUUUUGUAUAAUACACAUUUCCCCCAGUUUUUAUUUCAUCUGUUUUUUUCAAGCAGCCUUUCCAUUAUUUCUGAACAUUUGAGUUAAAAAAAUGUAAAUUACAGACGCCUGCGGAUUGACGUAAUGUGAAAAGAAGGCGGCUGUUUCCCCUUCCUCCAAACAGGGGACAUGGCUUUUCAAACUAAUAAACCCCU